UUGAUUUGUUUUUUUUGUUGUUGACCAAGUUGAAACAAAAGUGCAACAUAGAGUACUCUUACAUUUAUGCGUAUGUUUGGUUACGCGUUUUCACAAGCAAAAUGCGAGUUUGCCGCACCAAACGUGCGUUUUCUGUUUUCUGGGUUGUUUGGAUAAAAUCCAAACGCGAAUCUCUGGAACGCGAAUCAACACUCAAACGCGAGUAAACUUGAAGCUACAAAUCCAAGCUUCUGCGUCAAAGCAAACUCGAUUUGGGAUUUUUUCUCUUUUUCCUACUUUUUUAUUCAUUCUUUGCCCCUAACUGUUGUCUUUCUCAAAUCCACUUUCAAAUCUAUCAGAUCCACCACUCCAACCAGCUGCAUGUUGCCUUUCCUCUCUAAAAC
This 383-nucleotide long non-coding RNA is filed under the name Trifolium pratense (red clover). Its description in RNAcentral is "long non-coding RNA (TPRA_LNC006034)". Lineage: Eukaryota; Viridiplantae; Streptophyta; Magnoliopsida; Fabales; Fabaceae. The record is from RNAcentral.